GAAUAUUGGACAAUGGGGGCAACCCUGAUCCAGCCAUGCCGCGUGUGUGAAGAAGGCCUUAGGGUUGUAAAGCACUUUCAGUGGGGAGAAAAGUGGUUCAUUUAAUACGUGAAUCAAUUGAUGUUACCCACAGAAGAAGCACCGGCUAACUCCGUGCCAGCAGCCGCGGUAAUACGGAGGGUGCAAGCGUUAAUCGGAAUUACUGGGCGUAAAGCGCACGUAGGCGGUUUGUUAAGCCAGCUGUGAAAUCCCCGGGCUCAACCUGGGCACUGCAGUUGGAACUGGCAAGCUAGAGUAUGGUAGAGGGGUGUGGAAUUUCAGGUGUAGCGGUGAAAUGCGUAGAUAUCUGAAGGAACAUCAGUGGCGAAGGCGACACCCUGGAUCAAUACUGACGCUGAGGUGCGAAAGCGUGGGGAGCAAACAGG
RNAcentral lists this ribosomal RNA (425 nucleotides) under uncultured bacterium. RNAcentral's name for it is "bacterial SSU rRNA". It matches the Rfam family "Bacterial small subunit ribosomal RNA", at positions 359 to 776 of the family's 1533-position model. The record is from RNAcentral.